GACGAACGCUGGCGGCGUGGAUUAGGCAUGCAAGUCGAACGGUAUCAUCCUUUCGGGGGUGAGAGAGUGGCGAACUGGUGAGUAACACGUAGGUUAUCUACCCUCAAGACGGGGACAACCCAGGGAAACUUGGGCUAAUACCGGAUGUGAGCAACUUUUAGUUGUUUGAAAGGUGGCGUAAGCUGUCGCUUGGGGAUGAGCCUGCGUCCUAUUAGUUAGUUGGUGAGGUAACGGCUCACCUAGGCAAUGAUAGGUAGGCGGCCUUAACGGGUGGUCGCCCACACUGGGAUUGAGAUACGGCCCAGACUCCUACGGGAGGCAGCAGUCGAGAAUAGUCUACAAUGGUCGGAAGACUGAUAGUGCGACGCCGCGUGAACGAUGAAUCCCUUCGGGGUGUAAAGUUCUUUUAUAUGUGAGCAGUGCUUCUUAUAUUAACAGUAUGGGGAGAGAGAUAUUAGCAUAUGAAUAAGCAACGGCUAACUCCGUGCCAGCAGCCGCGGUAAUCA
This 506-nucleotide ribosomal RNA is filed under the name uncultured bacterium. Its description in RNAcentral is "bacterial SSU rRNA". It matches the Rfam family "Bacterial small subunit ribosomal RNA", at positions 28 to 525 of the family's 1533-position model. The record is from RNAcentral.